RNAcentral lists this ribosomal RNA (621 nucleotides) under Enterobacteriaceae bacterium HGPR59. RNAcentral's name for it is "bacterial SSU rRNA". It matches the Rfam family "Bacterial small subunit ribosomal RNA", at positions 77 to 691 of the family's 1533-position model. Lineage: Bacteria; Pseudomonadati; Pseudomonadota; Gammaproteobacteria; Enterobacterales; Enterobacteriaceae. The record is from RNAcentral.
AGCUUGCUGCUUCGCUGACGAGUGGCGGACGGGUGAGUAAUGUCUGGGAAACUGCCUGAUGGAGGGGGAUAACUACUGGAAACGGUAGCUAAUACCGCAUAACGUCGCAAGACCAAAGAGGGGGACCUUCGGGCCUCUUGCCAUCGGAUGUGCCCAGAUGGGAUUAGCUAGUAGGUGGGGUAACGGCUCACCUAGGCGACGAUCCCUAGCUGGUCUGAGAGGAUGACCAGCCACACUGGAACUGAGACACGGUCCAGACUCCUACGGGAGGCAGCAGUGGGGAAUAUUGCACAAUGGGCGCAAGCCUGAUGCAGCCAUGCCGCGUGUAUGAAGAAGGCCUUCGGGUUGUAAAGUACUUUCAGCGGGGAGGAAGGGAGUAAAGUUAAUACCUUUGCUCAUUGACGUUACCCGCAGAAGAAGCACCGGCUAACUCCGUGCCAGCAGCCGCGGUAAUACGGAGGGUGCAAGCGUUAAUCGGAAUUACUGGGCGUAAAGCGCACGCAGGCGGUUUGUUAAGUCAGAUGUGAAAUCCCCGGGCUCAACCUGGGAACUGCAUCUGAUACUGGCAAGCUUGAGUCUCGUAGAGGGGGGUAGAAUUCCAGGUGUAGCGGUGAAAUGCGU